GCCUACAUGAAGCUGGAGUUGCUAGUAAUCGCGAAUCAGCAUGUCGCGGUGAAUACGUUCCCGGGCCUUGUACACACCGCCCGUCACACCAUGAGAGUUGGCAAUACCCAACGUACGUGACCUAACCCGCAAGGGGGAAGCGUCCUAAGGUAGGGUCAGCGAUUGGGGUGAAGUCGUAACAAGGUACC
Molecule: ribosomal RNA, 188 nt
Filed under: uncultured bacterium
Lineage: Bacteria
Description: partial 16S ribosomal RNA
Rfam family: Bacterial small subunit ribosomal RNA
Source: RNAcentral